RNAcentral lists this ribosomal RNA (515 nucleotides) under uncultured bacterium. RNAcentral describes it as "partial 16S ribosomal RNA". It matches the Rfam family "Bacterial small subunit ribosomal RNA", at positions 28 to 523 of the family's 1533-position model. The record is from RNAcentral.
GAUGAACGCUGGCGGCGUGCCUAAUACAUGCAAGUCGAGCGAAUGGAUUAAGAGCUUGCUCUUAUGAAGUUAGCGGCGGACGGGUGAGUAACACGUGGGUAACCUGCCCAUAAGACUGGGAUAACUCCGGGAAACCGGGGCUAAUACCGGAUAACAUUUUGAACCGCAUGGUUCGAAAUUGAAAGGCGGCUUCGGCUGUCACUUAUGGAUGGACCCGCGUCGCAUUAGCUAGUUGGUGAGGUAACGGCUCACCAAGGCAACGAUGCGUAGCCGACCUGAGAGGGUGAUCGGCCACACUGGGCCUGAGACACGGCCCAGACUCCUACGGGCGGCAGCAGUAGGGAAUCUUCCGCAAUGGACGAAAGUCUGACGGAGCAACGCCGCGUGAGUGAUGAAGGCUUUCGGGUCGUAAAACUCUGUUGUUAGGGAAGAACAAGUGCUAGUUGAAUAAGCUGGCACCUUGACGGUACCUAACCAGAAAGCCACGGCUAACUACGUGCCAGCCGCCGCCGUAA